AAGAGUUUAGAGACUUCGGUCUACUACUCCACCCUUUGUUUACAAUACCAUUGUUGCUUUGGCAGGCCCGUCGCAAGACAACCGGCUUUGGCUGGUCAGCGCCUGCCAGAGAACCUAAAACUCAUGUUUAUAUUAUUGUCUGAGUACUAUGUAAUAGUUA
This 160-nucleotide unclassified non-coding RNA is filed under the name uncultured Alatospora. Its description in RNAcentral is "sequence contains ITS1". Lineage: Eukaryota; Fungi; Ascomycota. The record is from RNAcentral.